AAUGCGUUUUGAGAUGGUCCUGCGUCCUAUCAGCUUGUUGGUAGGGUAACGGCCUACCAAAGCUAUAACGGGUAUCCGGCCUGAAAGGGUGAACGGACACACUGGAACUGAGACACGGUCCAGACUCCUACGGGAGGCAGCAGUGGGGAAUUUUGGACAAUGGGGGAAACUCUGAUCCAGCGACGCCGCGUGGAGGAUGAAGGCUUUCGGGUUGUAAACUCCUUUUAGAGGGGAAGAAAUAAAUGACGGUACCCUCAGAAAAAGUCACGGCUAACUACGUGCCAGCAGCCGCGGUAAUACGUAGGUGGCGAGCGUUACUCGGAAUUACUAGGCGUAAAGCGUAUGUAGGCGGUCGUAUAAGUCUUUAGUAAAAUUUUCUGGCUCAACCGGAAAAAGCCUAAGGAUACUGUUCGGCUUGAGUGUGGGAGAGGGAGACGGAAUUCCUGGUGUAGCGGUGAAAUGCGUAGAUAUCAGGAGGAACACCGAUGGCGAAAGCAGUCUUCUGGACCAAUACUGACGCUGAUGUACGAAAGCUAGGGUAGCAAACAGGAUUAGAUACCCUGGUAGUCCUAGCUGUAAACGAUGUUCACUAGAUGUGGGGGGUAUCGACCCCUUCCGCGUCGACGCUAACGCAUUAAGUGAACCGCCUGGGGAGUACGGCCGCAAGGUUGAAACUCAAAGGAAUUGACGGGGGCCCGCACAAGCGGUGGAGUAUGUGGUUUAAUUCGACGCAACGCGAAAAACCUUACCUGGGCUUGAACUGCUGAUGGUAAAAACCGGAAACGGCAAUGACCCGCAAGGGAGUCAGUAGAGGUGCUGCAUGGCUGUCGUCAGCUCGUGUCGUGAGAUGUUGGGUUAAGUCCCGCAACGAGCGCAACCCUUAUCCCAUGUUACCUGUAGUAAUACAGGGUCUCUGAGGAAACUGCCAUUGAUAAAAUGGAGGAAGGUGGGGACGACGUCAAGUCAUCAUGGCCUUUAUGUCCAGGGCUACACACGUACUACAAUGGCCGGUACAGAGGGUAGCGAUAUCGUAAGGUGGAGCAAAUCCCUGAAAGCCGGCCCCAGUUCAGAUUGUGGGCUGAAAUUCGCCCACAUGAAGUAGGAAUC
Molecule: ribosomal RNA, 1107 nt
Filed under: uncultured Termite group 1 bacterium
Lineage: Bacteria; Pseudomonadati; Elusimicrobiota
Description: bacterial SSU rRNA
Rfam family: Bacterial small subunit ribosomal RNA
Source: RNAcentral